Molecule: ribosomal RNA, 482 nt
Filed under: uncultured bacterium
Lineage: Bacteria
Description: partial 16S ribosomal RNA
Rfam family: Bacterial small subunit ribosomal RNA
Source: RNAcentral
AUUGAACGCUGGCGGCAUGCCUUACACAUGCAAGUCGAACGGUAACAGGUCUUCGGAUGCUGACGAGUGGCGAACGGGUGAGUAAUACAUCGGAACGUGCCCGAUCGUGGGGGAUAACGAGGCGAAAGCUUUGCUAAUACCGCAUACGAUCUACGGAUGAAAGCGGGGGAUCUUCGGGCCUCGCGCGGACGGAGCGGCCGAUGGCAGAUUAGGUAGUUGGUGGGAUAAAAGCUUACCAAGCCGACGAUCUGUAGCUGGUCUGAGAGGAUGAUCAGCCACACUGGGACUGAGACACGGCCCAGACUCCUACGGGAGGCAGCAGUGGGGAAUUUUGGACAAUGGGCGAAAGCCUGAUCCAGCCAUGCCGCGUGCAGGAUGAAGGCCUUCGGGUUGUAAACUGCUUUUGUACGGAACGAAAAGCCUCUUUCUAAUAAAGAGGGGUCAUGACGGUACCGUAAGAAUAAGCACCGGCUAACUACGUG